Molecule: long non-coding RNA, 5721 nt
Organism: Globicephala melas (long-finned pilot whale)
Lineage: Eukaryota; Metazoa; Chordata; Mammalia; Artiodactyla; Delphinidae
Source: RefSeq, a predicted model, not a curated record
GAAGCGGGGGCCUCCAGGAUUCUGGCUACUCGGGGGCCCGGGCCCAGGGCGCACGCGCACCCCCGCCCCGACCGCCGUCGCCCUGCGCGUUCCGAGACGGGGCGGGGCCGGUGGUCACGCAGGCGCAGCCCCUACCCAGUGAGGCGUGUCACGGGUCGCUCCCCGGGGGUCAGGGUCACCAAAACUCCGGCAGGCCUUUCCCCGGGGCCACUGGGGGCCUGUUACCGGCAGUCGCCGCCCUGCCUUGACUGCCUGGGUGAAUCAGGUGCUAAUCGAAGCCUUGGUCUUGCAGGCUCCCCUGCCUGGGUUUUCUGAGUGCUACCGAUUUAGUCCGGGUGGGGGGAUUCCUACGGCCCUGCCGCACCCACGAAGAGCGAGAAGGCUCACCCGGUGGAGGAGGUGGGCUCGGUGACUCAUCUCUGGGAUGACCUAACCUCCCGACCCUGGCGGAGCAGAUGUCCGGAUGUCAGACGUCAUACCGUGACUUUGGACGGCCAGUGUGCCCCCUUCAGAUUGUAAACUGGCUCUAGUAGUUGCAUGGGUAUGUUGAUACAAUUGCUUCCGGAAAGCCCCUUUCCUUGCUAAGCAGCACGGUAAUGUCUGCGUUGUGGUUCUGCCUGGAGUGGAACACUUUCUAACCUGUAGCAGAAUUGUAACUGUCCAGAAGGAGAAUGGGUAUCCAGUUGAGUGCUUGGGGCCUUGCCAAGCAGUGUGAGCACAAGGAUGGCCCCUUCAGUGACCUCAGCGUUUGAAAGGCCACUGAUUUCCAGCCUCCAAGCAGUCUCCUGAACAUGAACUUGGUUUCCUUCUUCCACUUAAGAGGUUUGGGGACCGCGGAUCUCAGAGCACUGACAACUGGAGAGUGUGGCGUCAGGGGAAAACAGCAGGAGGAACGAAUACCCAGGUUAGGAGACUGAAGCUGCUUUCACCUAGGGGAGGGCCGGAAGAAGAGAGCGCUGAGAAGACCCCGCCAAGGCUCCCUGCUGGAGACCCUCGAUGCGCCUCCCCUCCUCCCCCGCCCCAGCAGCCGCCGCUUGAUCUCUUAGGCAGAGAACAGUCCUCGCCUGAUGAAGAACACUGGAGGUUUCUUUAGAACUCAGCUUCUAAAGAAGUUCUUCUAAGAAGUCUUUCUUCUUCCUAGAGGACUCCCAGCAGAGUUCACACAUAAUGGCUACUCUGAAAAGGGCUCAGUGAAUGGGCCAGGUCAACUGAGACUAGCCAGGCUGCUACCAGAGCGUGCUGGUAGAUGUGGGUGCCUAGGAGACACAGGCAGGGAGGCCCUUCACCACCGCUGUGGAACCUGGGUUCAGGCUCCUCACCUGGGGGCAAACUAGCCCAAGGAAGAUGUGGUCAGCCAGUCAGCUCAUUCCCAGCCAGCCUUUGGGCUUCCAUUAGGCACCUUGCUUAAUGUCAUUGGUACCUGAUAGUGAGCAAAGCACAAAGCCACUUUGUGACCAGUGGAGCAUGUCUGCACUUUUAAGUAAUUUACAGGGAUUUUAGGUCCAGAGACGGGGUGUAUAUAGUACAGGGAAGAAGUGACCAAUUUGGUAUCGGGGGCAUUGUCUGAGUCCCCUACUUGCAUGACCUUAAGCAAGUUGCCCUUCCUCUUUGAUUGUGUUUUCAGAUCUGUAAAAAGGGGACCAAGCUCUCCAUCUCACGGAGUAACUGUGAGGAUUACGUCAGGUCAUAGAAAGCGUCUGGGAGCUUCAAAACAUGCAUUAAGUCAUUUCAUCUGUCAAGAACUGAAGCAACAGGGCUCAGACCUCAGGCCCCAUCAGUGGCACAACUGGGAAGUUUGCCUUCAGCUUCCCUUUUCUGAAAAUGUGUUCCCACUCAGUGGUUUCUUCUGCCCACCUCAAGCACCAUGCUUCUGGAUGUCUUGCUUUCUGCACUGGCUGUCCAGAAAACGUCAGUAGAAAGUGCUCCCAUGUUCCACCAGAGUAGGAAGAGUCCUGCUUCUCAAGGUGGAGUGUCUUUCUGAGUAGGUGUGUCAGUCAUUGGAUAAUCAAGGUAUGUUUUCCCAGAGUACAAUUUUUACUCCAUGAUAAAUCAUUUUAAGCAUUGUUUUCAUGUUUUAAAACACCUGGACACGUCAGGAAAUAAAAUGCAGAGCUCAUUAUAAUUUUGAAAGAUAAAAAAAAGAAACCUUGAAGAAAUUUUCUCUCUUAAAACACACAGGCAUUGUCAAAUGAGUUUCCCAAGUUCUGAAGAUGUUUAAUUUCUGGUCCAACCUCCCUUAUUUGCUCAGGAAGGAGACUGAGGCCCAGAGAAAUGAGGGGAGUGCCCACCUCCUCUGUCUCCUCCCACGAGGAAGAGCCACAUGAGUAGAGAUCUGUCUGCUCCAGUGCAUCCCCGUCACCUAGACGUGUGUCUGGUAACAACAGUUUGCACUCAAUAAAUAUUUAUCGAACAAUUCAAGUAAUUCUAAGGGGCAAGAGAACUAAGAAAGCCUCUGAGUUUCCGCAGGGGAUAUCCAUAUUAACUUAAGGGUGCUAUGUGACACUUCCCAGGAGCAGGUCAGAAGGGGUUUCUGCCCCUGUAAAAUAAGACGGGCCUUUUCCUUGGGUAAAACUGACCCAGUCAUUUGUCUUAUUCCCUAAGGACGCUUCUCAGAGCAGGAAAUGCACUAAAAUAUUCACAGAGAUCAUUUCUCCCAGUGAGGUUAUAAUGAGCUUGUAUCACUUACAAAAUAAGAGUCAAGGACCUUAUAGCACUUUUUGUGCAUCGGCAAAAGCAAGUCCAGCCCAAAUGGCGUGUUUACCUGUGUUUCUUUAUUGUGAGCGAGGCCUCUAUCUGCGUUUACCUGGUGGAAGGGUGCGGCCAGAGGCGUGCUGGCUGGUUCUGAGGGGCCCAGCCAGCCUGGUGACCGGCUGGCACACGGGGCUUUAAAGGUGUCCCCAGCCCUCCAAGAUCUGGAUAGCAAGAAAACCACUGUGACACACAGCGAAGUGGUGAGAGCUAUACCAGCAAUGUCCCCGCUCCACAGGGCAGCCCACGCACCUGCCCUUCCCUGCGGAGCUCUGCGUUCUCUGCAGAUGCUUCUGUUCACUGGACUCAAGGUUACGUCUGUGCAGAGGAAGGAACAGAAGGCGGGCGGGUUUUUUAGGAAGAUAACUGUCUUUGCUUAGGGUAAGGCCAGCCUAGCCGGCUUGGGGUGCAGGAACUGUUGGCUGCUUUGCAGAAGUGGUUCAGAGGGUCUUCGGAAAAGGGAAGAAGGCAGAGAAGGCACAGAGCAACACAGCAAGAGACUGAAGUUUGGAGCAAAAGGGGGGUCUGUGGGAAACUCCUGGACUGGGUUUACUGAGGGACUUCCAAAAAUAGGGCUGUCUGAAAAAAAAUAGUGCUUUCUACGAUUUCAUUUUCCACCCUGUCCCUCUAACCAUCCCUAAAGGCUUCUGCACACAUAAAUGUCCUCUGUGGGAGAUUUCAGGAGAUGGGAACAGGAGCUGAGCGCCCAGGCAGCCACGGGGGUGAAGAGUGAGGGCGUCUCAGCAGAAGAAGGGACUUCUGCACACAGAACUUCCCAAAGAGUUCCUGGGCGGGAAAAAUGCUGAUUUUCCCCAUUGUUGAAGGGUUGAGUCAAAUUUUAUUUAAAUUUCAAAGGACAGUUGUGACUCUAGCUGAUACUUGACUUCCAUUUCCAGGUAUAUUCCUCAGCAUAAGAAGAGUUUAAAUUCUGUGGAAAUUCUAGAACUUCCCUUUUAUAUUUAAACACGAUUCCUUUGCUUCCAUACCCUGGCAUCCUUCAGAGGAGCCAGUAAAUUUAAGCACUGGCUUAAUUAAGCUUAGAAUUUAAGUUUAUUUUUCAUUCUGUGCUCAGGGAACUACUUGGGUGAACAAGUAUUUAUUCCAUAUUUACCUUAUGCUCAUACCUAUAGAAAAAUAAACAUCACUGUCCUUAAUGAUCCUGUAACCUAAUUGAGGAUAUGGGAUGAAACAAAUGCGAGAUUCGGCAACACUUAUAUAAGUGUCAAGUGCUAAUUUGUGCAGGUUGGGGAGAUGCUAAGCAGGCUAGGGUCUAAGGAAGGAAAGAUCCUGGUAGACUUGAGGGACCUGGGAAAUUUCAGUGAGGCGGUGGGACUUGAGGAAGUUUCAGGAUUGACUGUUGGUGGAGAGAUCCUUGGAGACCAGGACUUCUCAGCCUCAGAUCUGUCGACGUUUGGGGCCUGAAGGUUCUGUGCUGUGGGGUCGUCCUGUGCGCUGUAGGGUAUGAAGCAGCACCCCUGCCCUCUACCCUUUAGAUGCCAGCAGCUCCCAUUCCGCAGUUGUGACAACCAAAAAUGCCUCCAGGCACUGCUACGUGUGCCCUGGGGCACAACUGUCCCAGCCAAGAACCACAUGUUGAGUAAAGGGAACAGCAUACGAGCUGGAGGGAGGAAGAAAGUUGAUGGGUGGAGGUGAGACCUUGUGUAGAUAUCCCCAUAGGCUUCUGGCCAGACCGCACAGCAAACGUGGCCUCACCGUCCCAGAAGACAGUAUGUGGCACUGCUGGUGGCUGUUCUGCUCAGAAAGCUGCUGUAGAAUGCUGGUCACUUCUGAGCAUGACACACUUCUCUCUGGUAUCAACAGCCCGAUUAUACCCUGGGGAGUAGGAAAUACAUACGGAUGGGCAGAAGCAUAGCCAGUUAGUAAAGCGCCACGAGUGCCAAGCCACAGAGGUUCUGCUCUGCUUGAUAGCACUUUUCUGAUAUAGAUUCUUGACAUACUUUGGGAAGAUUAAUUUGACGGUAACAUUCUCAGUUGGGCGCAAGGAUGAAGCAGGGCUUUCUAACCUGGAGAUUAUGGAUAGGCUUCAGGAGGCCUAUGAGUCCCUAAAUAAACCCAUCAUUUUGUGGGUUUAUUCAUCUUUUGGAGGAGGGAUUCCAUAGCUUACAUCAGACCCCCACAAAGUUGAGAACUCUUGGGUUCAGCUGGGGUCAAAACAUGAAACAAGGACAUCAGUGAGUAUUCUAGUGGAAUAAUCCCUCCCUCCCUCCCUUUCUAGAAGCAGAUAACCCUUCCACAUGAGCACCCAGAUGCCCAGGAGCUGCGGGAAGGAUGGAGCUCAGGUUAGAGACAUUUCAUGAAGUGAAAUAUAGUGAAUCCAGAGGCUCAGAGAAUAAUGGAAAAUCCUGGAGGUGGCAUCUGAGCCCUGCCUUGCCCGUAGACAUUGCUGGUCAGAAAACAUAGGAGGAAAGGGGGAGUCUGGACUUGCUGGUGGCUGAGGAAAUGAGAGAGAAACACAAAUGUAAAAGAGCUGCAGAGAAGGUAGCCUCUCAUCAGUACAAUGACCUAGUGGCUAAUCGCACAGGAGAGAGGAAGGCUCAGGGGGCAACGAGUGAGAGAUUAUGCCAGAGGUCCAAGCCAGGAAGACUGGAGACUGGAGGCAGUAGUGAGUGCGUUUCGAGUGGGAAGACCGAGUUUUGUGUUUAGACACAUUGAAUUUGAGGCAAUGAGAGGGUGUUCUAUUUCAGAAAAUUCCUUCAGGGCAACGGGGGAUACAUGACCAAUGCUGGGCAGGUGGCAGGAGGAGAGGUGGGCAGUGAGGGCCACACCACUGCUUCCUCCGGGUGCUUGUUUUCAUGGGCUUUGCAGAACACAGAGAUGUUUUGUGGAUGAAAACAACAAUCUCACAACAUCAACAUUGAACUUCUGACUCUAGACUUGAAUGUUUAUUAGCCCCUUCUUCCUGGAGUGGUGACUGGACGGGGUGUCAGGGCUUUCGGGUGGGGGUGGGGCUAG